GAUGAACGCUGGCGGCGUGCCUAAUACAUGCAAGUCGAGCGAACAGACGAGGAGCUUGCUCCUCUGAUGUUAGCGGCGGACGGGUGAGUAACACGUGGAUAACCUACCUAUAAGACUGGGAUAACUUCGGGAAACCGGAGCUAAUACCGGAUAAUAUUUUCAACCGCAUGGUUCAAUAGUGAAAGACGGUUUUGCUGUCACUUAUAGAUGGAUCCGCGCUGCAUUAGCUAGUUGGUAAGGUAACGGCUUACCAAGGCGACGAUGCGUAGCCGACCUGAGAGGGUGAUCGGCCACACUGGAACUGAGACACGGUCCAGACUCCUACGGGAGGCAGCAGUAGGGAAUCUUCCGCAAUGGGCGAAAGCCUGACGGAGCAACGCCGCGUGAGUGAUGAAGGUCUUCGGAUCGUAAAACUCUGUUAUUAGGGAAGAACAAAUGUGUAAGUAACUAUGCACAUCUUGACGGUACCUAAUCAGAAAGCCACGGCUAACUACGUG
RNAcentral lists this ribosomal RNA (497 nucleotides) under uncultured bacterium. Its description in RNAcentral is "partial 16S ribosomal RNA". It matches the Rfam family "Bacterial small subunit ribosomal RNA", at positions 28 to 507 of the family's 1533-position model. The record is from RNAcentral.